RNAcentral lists this ribosomal RNA (482 nucleotides) under uncultured bacterium. Its description in RNAcentral is "partial 16S ribosomal RNA". It matches the Rfam family "Bacterial small subunit ribosomal RNA", at positions 30 to 507 of the family's 1533-position model. The record is from RNAcentral.
AUUGAACGCUGGCGGUAUGCUUUACACAUGCAAGUCGAACGGUAACAGGCCGCAAGGUGCUGACGAGUGGCGAACGGGUGAGUAAUGCAUCGGAACGUGCCCAGUCGUGGGGGAUAACUACUCGAAAGAGUAGCUAAUACCGCAUACGAUCUAUGGAUGAAAGCGGGGGACCGUAAGGCCUCGCGCGAUUGGAGCGGCCGAUGUCAGAUUAGGUAGUUGGUGGGGUAAAGGCUCACCAAGCCAACGAUCUGUAGCUGGUCUGAGAGGACGACCAGCCACACUGGGACUGAGACACGGCCCAGACUCCUACGGGAGGCAGCAGUGGGGAAUUUUGGACAAUGGGCGCAAGCCUGAUCCAGCAAUGCCGCGUGCAGGAAGAGGGCCUUCGGGUUGUAAACUGCUUUUGUACGGAACGAAACGGCUCUGGUUAAUACCCGGGGCUAAUGACGGUACCGUAAGAAUAAGCACCGGCUAACUACGUG